CCAACUUACGAUUCUUUUUCUACCCAAAUUUAUCACAAAAUCCAAUCCCACUACAUUCUUACUACCUCCCUUCUCUCUUCAAGAAAGGCUGCUACUUUUGUCAAACAUGUGUUCUCAAACAAAAAAUUAAGUUUGAAAGAAAUAAGAAUAAAAAAGAAAAUAUACCGAUAAAUAUUACCUCAUGUUCCAAAAGAAGUAAAAAC
Molecule: long non-coding RNA, 203 nt
Filed under: Panax ginseng (ginseng)
Lineage: Eukaryota; Viridiplantae; Streptophyta; Magnoliopsida; Apiales; Araliaceae
Description: long non-coding RNA (PGIN_LNC014647)
Source: RNAcentral